This is a long non-coding RNA of Camarhynchus parvulus, 2785 nucleotides long. RefSeq lists it as uncharacterized. Lineage: Eukaryota; Metazoa; Chordata; Aves; Passeriformes; Thraupidae. The transcript is spliced from 4 exons. The record is from RefSeq and is a predicted model, not a curated record.
AACAAAACCAGAUUUGAUUUUUUUUUCUCCCCUUUUUUGGUGGGGAAGAGGUGGGGGUUACACAAAGGAGUGAAAGCAGCCCGAGUCUGUGUAUUGAGAAUUAAUGAAAUUAACGUAAUCCUUUCCAUUAGUGGGCUUUUUAGAAAGGCCCCAGAUUUAGGCUUGAUCUCUGCUGCACCGGCUAAUUGCCCAGGUUAAUCUUAUUAAUGCCAUUGUGUAGAAGUGGUUAGCAGCUCCUAGUCUUGUCUAUUAUGCGCCUGCUUUGGUCGUGUUAGUUCACAUUAGUGGGUGCGAUUUCCUCUGUCUAAGGCUCAGAUUCAUUAUUUAUGCUUCGAACUGCUUAAGAAGCACUUAAAAAAAAAAUAAACUGCCACAUAAACAUGCAACGCCCCCCCACUCCAAUGGUUUCUGUAGCGCGAUUUGAAUCUUGCGUCCCCGGCUCGGAGGACUGAGCGGGCGUUGAAGAAUAUGUGUUUCUCUGAUUUAAGGUUUAUGCAGUGAAGCAACAACGUCUUCACUGAAUUCAGACAGGUAUCACCUUUUGUUUUUAAUACAAGCCAAGAGACGCAAACGUUAAAGACCAGUGCCAUCUCAAAUCCCCGGGUGUGAAUACUUCGUCUGUCACGACUGUCCCUGGGAAUCCACAGGAGGUGAACUGAAUAAGAUUAGACUAUUUACCCCAUCAACUCUCCAUCAAAGAAGGUGAAGGCAGCACCGCGGGACACGAGUGGGCACCGGAGGAGCCGCGACGCUGGCGGAGCACGCACCGCCCUGGCCGGGCGGGCGAUCGGCUUCCCGGAGAGUUUUCUGCACCCCUGACGGAUGAUCCACCAUGCUACAACGUUCACCUUUAUUCCUAAUUUAGAAAUUAUAUUUUCCAAAUAACUUGUCCCCCCAGCGGGGAAGGUUUCUUUUAUUUUGUUUUGGUUUGUUUUUUUUAGUCUGAGUCGUUGUGCCGUGAAACCCCCGGUUUUGAUACCCGCUUGGCGAAACCUGCUCUCGGAGUUUCUCAUUUCCCACGCGCUCUUCGCUAACCUGGCAAACGGAAAAUUGUGUUAAACAAACAAUCAGUAGUCGCACAAUGUCGGGGUGAAAUUGUAAUAACAAAUGAAACACAAGCAAAUUGUGCUGCAUAGUGUUGCUAAGCAAUUGUUUGUUACGGGAGGGUGGUCGCAGCAUGGGUUGAAAGAGGGAUCUAAAGAGGAGCAUAGCGCUGGGCAGAGCAAGCUGUUAGGUAUGAAAUACGGUAAACACGGCGCUGAUUUUCAAUAUUAUUACCCAAACACGAUUUCAUGCAAAGCAAUCACCAUACACAAGUCUAUGAAAAUGCGCUUGUUGAGAAAUCGGACAUAUUUUUUCUUUUAUUUUAAUAUAUUAAAGAACAAUUCCGGGGAUGCAAAAUGCACCCACCGCCUUCCCGGCGGAGUCUCUGACCGGCCCGAGCGGUACCGGGGCUGCCGGCCGGGAAGGGCCCAGGGCACCCCAGCCCAGGUCGGCCAGGCCCGGCCCGGCCGGGACUCGCCGUGGGCAGCGGGUCCGGCUGCGGCUCCCGCCCCACGCGAGGGGCACCGAGGGGUGAACCGGGCGUUUGGGGAUGAGCGGCGGCGAAGGGGCGCUUCGCGGCACAUCUCUUCACUUAGAAAUGCCAUCACCCUGCAGCGCUCACCCACGUUUGUUUCAAAUUGAUUGCAUCAUUGCUUCACCAGGAAAAAAAAAAAGUAUAAAAGUCAUACAAUGCGAAAUUACCGUAAUUUGUUCCCAGAAUAAACUUAUCUUGAACUGAUUAGGAGAGUCAGUCAUUUGAAAACGAGGCAGAAAAGCGGUUGGGUAUUUUUUCUGAAAGCUUCCCUCUAACAAUAUCAGCUUCUAAAGUUUUCAUUCAUGUAAACUUUAUUAAUGAAGAUCUUUUAUUUAAAUGUCAAGAGGAUUUGAAAUUUUUGAGUAAAUUAUGAAGCAUGCAUGUCUUGACAAGUCAUGGGUCAAAUGCAUUUGUGAAAAACUGCUAAAAGAGCAUAUGGUUUUGAAUUUUUCUACAAUGACUAGUGUUUAAAUAAAUUGCUUGUACUGCUUAACUUCAUGUAUAAUUUUGACAGAAAUUGGCCUAUAGCCUUUUGAUAUGUAAACAUUUCAGGCUUUUAUGCGGUAUAAAAAGACACUUGCUUUUUGGGAUCAGCUAAAGCAGUCACCCUGUAAUUCAGAAAACUGGCACCUAACGUUACAUUCUUGCUGCAUUUCAACUUUCAAGUGGCAGCAUAAAGGGGGGAAGGAAAAGGGACAUUUCAAAAGCAAUUGGAAUUAAAAACUGCGAAUGAGGUGGGAAUGUGCCACUCACUGUCUGAUUGAAAUGGAUAAACCUUAGCACUAAGAGAAUUCUCAGUCUUGUUUUCUAAAAAACAACAGAGAAAUCAGUGAAAACAGUCUUCAAGGUAGCACAGACCUGACUCGCAUGUCAAAUUAAUGUCUUAAAACAAAGUCUGUCUAAAGUACAAAUAGGUGUGAUGAAGAAAACCCAGAUAUCCCUUCUGAAUUCUGUCAGCUGUUUCUCCUCUACAAACUAUCUUGGGCUUUAAAAAUUGAAACAGACUUUUAUACAUUGAAUAUUGCAUACAAAGUAUAUAAACAUACCGCUACCCUUCAAACUGCCACUUUGCUAGCUUCAUGUUCACUCGCAUUUCACCAGUUCUUAAGUCUUUUGCAGUUUUUGCUCCAGUAAACAUUCCAUUGACUUCAAUUAGUGUUUUGUUUUGGUGGUGUGUUUUGGUUUUUUGUUUUGGGUUUUUUGGGU